Long non-coding RNA from Cyprinus carpio (common carp), 1058 nucleotides. The record is from Ensembl. NCBI's taxonomy places the organism in Eukaryota, Metazoa, Chordata, Actinopteri, Cypriniformes, Cyprinidae.
GCAUGGCGACACCGAGAGAAAUGCCAGAGAACUGGGUCCCUCAUGAUUAAGAUCCACAUCCUUUCCCAGAUCACAAAGCCAGAAAAAGAACCAGCCAUUCAUUGUGUGUUUUUCAAGACAGGAAAGCAAUGAGCAUGUCCAACGAACCACUGGUGAGUUUGCCAAUUAGUUUGUUAAUUCAGACCUAAAGCAAAAACCACUCACACUACGUGCUGACAUAAUUAGUAUCUCUCUAUCUCUCUCUCUUUCAGAGCAUAAUUGUUUCCCAACACCCCAGAGGGUUUCUUUAUCCCAAUACUGAGCGACCUUUACGCAAAUGCAAGUCAUGUGUGAGACAAGGGCCUGCUCUGAAACAUGCAUUAGAAGACUCACAAAGCCUUUGUGUGAAUCCACCCAUGCAGCAAAUAGAACAACGGCAGGUUUUUCCUUAUAGCGCACCAUCAGAAGAGCCAUGUCAGUGUCAGCCUGUCUAGGUCUAGGCUAUCUUCCCUCGGCACAACCAUUGCCACCUCUAUUACCCUGUGCUGUCAGGGUCAACAGUCAAAGGCACCUCUGUUCAUUCCUCUGUGCCACCGUGGUCCCCCAUUAUGUGUUGCUGGGACCCAGUUUCAGUCCAGGCCAUUUGUCACGUCCAACGAAUAACCCACAAUCACUUAAAGUCAAAAGAGGCAUUGUGCAUGGUUGGUUAGCAGUGACGAUCAAUGGAACUUUCUGUAAUGGUGUCUAGAGGGACAGGGUAUUGAUGCCAUAUCUGUUCGACUUCCUUCUCAACCCUCUUCUUAUUUUAAUAAGAAAUUAGUGUUUCAAGCAUGUACUAAUGUGCUUUGUCAGUGAAUAGACUGAGCUUUAAGUAAUCAUCACAGUGUUGACCUUGGGUGCAUUAUUGAAUUUUUUCAGGUAAACAUGAUAUACAAGUGCAAUCUGUCAAUGUGACCUUUUUAAAAGAUUUGUUUUUCAGUUUAUUUUCAAAAGCAUUCAUGUUAUACCAAGAAAAACAUCAGGAAUCAAAUCAAUAUUUUGCAUCCAUAUUAAGUCAAUAAAAUACACUCAGACCAACA